UCCCCUGUAGCUCAAUUGGCAGAGCAGCCGGCUGUUAACCGGAGGGUUACUGGUUCGAGUCCAGUCGGGGGAG
This 73-nucleotide transfer RNA is filed under the name Streptomyces sp. MBT57. RNAcentral describes it as "tRNA-Asn". It matches the Rfam family "tRNA". From Rfam's summary of the family: Transfer RNA (tRNA) molecules are approximately 80 nucleotides in length. Their secondary structure includes four short double-helical elements and three loops (D, anti-codon, and T loops). The record is from RNAcentral. Lineage: Bacteria; Bacillati; Actinomycetota; Actinomycetes; Kitasatosporales; Streptomycetaceae.